This 253-nucleotide ribosomal RNA is filed under the name uncultured bacterium. RNAcentral's name for it is "partial 16S ribosomal RNA". It matches the Rfam family "Bacterial small subunit ribosomal RNA", at positions 524 to 776 of the family's 1533-position model. The record is from RNAcentral.
UACGUAGGGUGCGAGCGUUGUCCGGAAUUACUGGGCGUAAAGGGCUCGUAGGCGGUUUGUCGCGUCGGGAGUGAAAUCCACUGGCUUAACUGGUGGCUUGCUUUCGAUACGGGCAGACUGGAGGUAUGCAGGGGAGAACGGAAUUCCUGGUGUAGCGGUGAAAUGCGCAGAUAUCAGGAGGAACACCCGUGGCGAAGGCGGUUCUCUGGGACGGUACUGACGCUGAGACGCGAAAGCGUGGGGAGCGAACAGG